AUGAAUUUCAUGCCAGUUCUUCACUUUCUUCCCCUUUCUAACUUUUUUUUUUUUUGCUACAGGUUUUCUUCUUCUCAUCAUCGCAGUCCAAGAGGGUUUUCUUCUUCUCAUCAUCGGAGUCCUAGAGGGUUUUCUUCUUCUCAUCAUCGGAGUCCAAGAGGGUUUUCUUCUCUUAUUACUUCACCCACGCCGAUUUUAUUUGUUAGGGUUUCUGUUCUUUAUUACUUCAUAUGUAAUUUCAAAGAAACUCAUUCUUAG
Vicia faba (fava bean) is the source of this 258-nucleotide non-coding RNA. The record is from the annotation of a GenBank genome assembly. NCBI's taxonomy places the organism in Eukaryota, Viridiplantae, Streptophyta, Magnoliopsida, Fabales, Fabaceae.